This 302-nucleotide ribosomal RNA is filed under the name uncultured bacterium. RNAcentral describes it as "partial 16S ribosomal RNA". It matches the Rfam family "Bacterial small subunit ribosomal RNA", at positions 508 to 808 of the family's 1533-position model. The record is from RNAcentral.
GCAGCCGCCACGGUAAUACGUAGGUGGCAAGCGUUGUCCGGAAUUAUUGGGCGUAAGGCGCGCGCAGGCGGAUAGGUCAGUCUGUCUUAAAAGUUCGGGGCUUAACCCCGUGAUGAGAUGGAAACUGCCAAUCUAGAGUAUCGGAGAGGAAAGUGGAAUUCCUAGUGUAGCGGUGAAAUGCGUAGAUAUUAGGAAGAACACCAGUGGCGAAGGCGACUUUCUGGACGAAAACUGACGCUGAGGCGCGAAAGCCAGGGGAGCGAACGGGAUUAGAGACCCGCGUAGUCCCUGUCUCUUAUACC